RNAcentral lists this microRNA precursor (126 nucleotides) under Gossypium hirsutum (cotton). Its description in RNAcentral is "MIR7504 microRNA precursor family". It matches the Rfam family "MIR7504 microRNA precursor family". The record is from Rfam by way of RNAcentral. Lineage: Eukaryota; Viridiplantae; Streptophyta; Magnoliopsida; Malvales; Malvaceae.
UAUCAAGAAUAACAAAUCAGAUUUUUUUUCUCCUGAUUUUCAGCUUUUUUCUCCUGAAAAAGUUUAAAUCCAACUAAACAUGCUAAAAAUCAAGAGAAAAAAAAUCUGAUUUAUCAUUCUUGUAUU